UACAGAGGUCCCGAGCGUUGUUCGGAUUUACUGGGCGUAAAGGGUGCGUAGGCGGUGGGGUAAGUUUGAGGUGAAAGCUCCGGGCUCAACCCGGAAAAUGCCUUGAAAACUAUCCGGCUAGAGGGUUGGAGGGGAGACUGGAAUUCUCGGUGUAGCAGUGAAAUGCGUAGAUCUCGAGAGGGACACCAGUGGCGAAGGCGGGUCUCUGGACAACACCUGACGCUGAGGCACGAAAGCCAGGGGAGCAAACGGG
RNAcentral lists this ribosomal RNA (253 nucleotides) under uncultured bacterium. Its description in RNAcentral is "partial 16S ribosomal RNA". It matches the Rfam family "Bacterial small subunit ribosomal RNA", at positions 524 to 776 of the family's 1533-position model. The record is from RNAcentral.